UAGGGAAUCUUCCGCAAUGGGCGAAAGCUUGACGGAGCAACGCCGCGUGAGUGAUGAAGGUCUUCGGAUCGUAAAACUCUGUUAUUAGGGAAGAACAAAUGUGUAAGUAACUAUGCACGUCUUGACGGUACCUAAUCAGAAAGCCACGGCUAACUACGUGCCAGCAGCCGCGGUAAUACGUAGGUGGCAAGCGUUAUCCGGAAUUAUUGGGCGUAAAGCGCGCGUAGGCGGUUUUUUAAGUCUGAUGUGAAAGCCCACGGCUCAACCGUGGAGGGUCAUUGGAAACUGGAAAACUUGAGUGCAGAAGAGGAAAGUGGAAUUCCAUGUGUAGCGGUGAAAUGCGCAGAGAUAUGAAGGAACACCAGUGGCGAAGGCGACUUUCUGGUCUGUAACUGACGCUGAUGUGCGAAAGCGUGGGGAUCAAACAGG
RNAcentral lists this ribosomal RNA (429 nucleotides) under Actinomycetes bacterium. Its description in RNAcentral is "Actinobacteria bacterium partial 16S ribosomal RNA". It matches the Rfam family "Bacterial small subunit ribosomal RNA", at positions 355 to 776 of the family's 1533-position model. Lineage: Bacteria; Bacillati; Actinomycetota; Actinomycetes. The record is from RNAcentral.